Macaca fascicularis (crab-eating macaque) is the source of this 4366-nucleotide long non-coding RNA. Lineage: Eukaryota; Metazoa; Chordata; Mammalia; Primates; Cercopithecidae. The record is from Ensembl.
AUGACCACAACAGACGACCCUCGCCUUCUAUUUGCCCUACUUAUAUGGAAAAACAAGCAAACAAACAUAAAACAACAGCAACAAGUCGAAGCAGGAAUUCAGGUUACAAGACAAAGACUUCAAUUUUUGCUCAAGGCCCAGCUCCAUGCCAGGACCACACCAGCAAGGGGACUGGGGAAAGUGUUCCCAGGCUCCAGUACAGAUGUCUUGCAUUUCCUGUGCUGCUUUAUGUGCUGCUUCCUUAGAGCUCAUCAUACUGGAAAGGGGUCCAAGGAGGAAUGCAGCACGCAAUCACCAUUAGAGCCUUCAUUGGGAUCCUUGCCCAAAGCUUGUGGAAGAGCGGGCACCAUGAGCAUCAAGUCCAAUCCACUGCCUGGCUGAGAACGAGAAGAGUCACUGCUCCCCAGGUUGGGCAUGCAAGCUUUGUGUUUCACAGGGUCACACAGCACAACUUUUUCCCCCAUGCUCCACUAUGAUGCAAUGGCAUUAAAUUUAAAGCAAGCAUAAUUUUGUGUAUGUAUUCUCCUUGUUUUUCUGGUGGAGGGAAAGCCGACUAUUUGAUUUCUUACAAGAUAAAAUGACCUUUUUCCCUCCCACUAAUGUACAAAGAACCUGGGAAGAGGUGGCCAUUUUAACCAGAUGGAAACUUCUCCUGAAUUCACUCCUGGAGAGAGAAAUAAAAGAAAAAAAUAUUUCAACUGAGAAAUAAAAAUCUGUUCUGGUUAUCUAUUGAUGCUUAACAAAUCAUCACAAAACCUAGUGACAUAAAGUAAUAGCACUCAUUCUGUUAUAUCUCACAAUUUCUGAGUCAUAUCUCAGAGUUCUGAGGAAUUUGAGAAAAGAGGGACCAGGCAGUCCUAGCAUAGUGUCUCCCAUGCAGUUGCGGUCAGGAUCUGGAAAAGAAAGGUCUGUAGGAAUAUCAGUUGAAGUUUGCUGGGCCUCUGUCCCUCUCUCUCUUCACAUAGUUUCAGGGCCUUUACAUAUGGUCUCUCCACCAGGACUACUUUGGGCCUUCUCAGAGAAUGGUGGCCUCUGGAAACUACUUACAUGGUGACCAGAGGUUUCAAGAGUGAGUAUUCUCGUGAGUCCAAUUAUUGUGCUCCUUGUAAUAUGCUGGUAUUUAAAGAUUCACAAAGGCUUUUUAGAUUAUUUUUGAAGGCUUAGUUUACUUCCUUAUUCUUUUACGCAUCAAUUCUAAGGAUCAGAUAGGAUAUUGUAUCAUAUUACUUCUAAAUUCCCGUUUACAUCUAUUUGUUUAGAAUUCUACGGGGUGUUGUUGCGAGAUGUCUUAUCCUUAAGCAUGAGACUGUAAUGGUAACUUUAUUGAUGCUCACUGAAGUUUCAGGCACUGUUCUAUCUUAGGCUGAAUAAUUUAAUUAUUACAAGUAUGCUAGGAGUCCGUGCUAUUGUCAUUUCCCUUUUACAGAUGAGAAAAUGGGGGCACAGUAAGGUAACUGGCUUGCUAAAGGUCACAUAGUUCUUAAAUUUGAACCCAGGCGGUCUAACUCAAGAGAUCACUCUUUUAAGCAUUGUAUUAGUCUGCCUCCUCCAAAGAAGCCACAGUCUAGUGGCUUUACACUUAAGUCAAAGAGAAUUUUUUGCAUGCUUUUUUUCUCCAUAUGCACAAGGGAUAAGACCCCUUAGACAAGCAUCUGGCAAUCUGACUAAAGAAACAAGCAGCAUAUCUCUAUGGGGACCACAGGCAAAGGCUGUAGAAGUUCAUAAGAGGAGAGAGCUGGGAGAAAGUUGGGUGUCAGGAAAGGGGAACUGGUGGAGUGAGAAACAUAACUGGGCUCUUAAAAACAGAUAAGAGUCAGAGCACCAGAAAGACUGAGCUGACAUUUUAGGUGAUGGGAGGAGCUUGCCUUACCACAUGGCCAAUGAUAUUGUCAAUUCCAGCACUGAAAGAAAGGAAUUCCUCUCCUAACACUAACUGUACUGGCUUUCCUUGGGUCCUGGUGAUUAGAUAGAUUGUCACCUUGAGGAGGAGAAGAGGACAGGUUGUCUCAUACAUUUAUAAGGCUGCCACUGAUUUUCUGUCCUUAUCUACACCUUCCAAAGACAGAUGACCCUCUUUGCCAAACUUAGAGUCCAGCACUGGUUUGGAAAUCAGGAUAGGGCCAGAAAUUAUGAAAAUGGAGACAGGAAGCAAGAGGAUCCUCAAUUGCCCUCAGAUCCACAGAAGAGUCCUGGGGGCUUAACGCCGCUGGUGCACAGUAAGCCCCAGGAGGCAGGGAGCACACCUACCUUGCUCAUCCAGGUGUCCCCAAGGUGGCAUGUGGCCAUGCUCAGUAAGUACUUGUUAAAUAAGCAAAUGAAUAAAUGAAUUGCCAAAUAACCAAACAAAUGAAUUUGUAUAGAGCACACUUAAAAACUAACAAAAGGUUUCUGGAGCAUUUAGGGUGGAAAUGGGAUGCCCCCAUCCCAUUUCUGAGGUGAGAAAGAGUCCUGUGUCCAGAGAUAGGGCUUUUUCCUGGCUGGAAAAAAUCCACCCUUCCUUCUAGAGGAAUUGAGUAAAUUGUGUUGGGAUAUAUAGAAGAUCAAUCAAUAUAAAAUUUACUACACUUAAUUCUAAAACUUCCUUUUCCAGGCACUGGGAUCUCAGGGGCAAAUCUCUUUUGUGGUAAACUGACCUCUAGAAUCAUCACAAUCAUAUAGCUAUAGACACUUAAAUUUGAAGCGUUCUUAAAGCUUAUGAAGAUCAACUAGAUAUAAUGUCGUCUUUGCCAGCAGGUGGCUACACUUGAAUGACUCAAUACACAAAAGCUCAUUACCCUUUGUAAUAAAUUGCUAUCUCCUCAUAAAGUACUUACCUGAUGGAAAGAUUUCAGAAAAAGGAAACCAAGUGAUCUCCUGCUAAGAAGUGUUAAAGCAAACUUUAGCGCCCUGAAAAUAACUAUGUAAAGUGCAUUUGAAUCCUGGAUAGGAAACUAGUUUACCCCAUGUAAAUACAGAAGAAUAGCCGCUAGGGUGUUGAUGGUGGUACUUGCUAAAGUGAUAGAAUAGUAAUGAUUCCAUUUGCUUAUUUUGACAGCUUCACUGACUGGGAAACCUGCUAUUCUCCACACACCUCCGUAUUCCCAUGAUGAACUUAUGUCUCUGUCUGUUUUUCUUAUCGUACCUGGAAUAAUGUUGCCCAUGCUAUGCCUCCAGGCAGACAAAACCUUCCUUGCCCUUUCUACCAUCCCAUCCAAGGCCCAUGAAGCCUUUCUAGAUGCUCCCUGUCUGGAUUUAUCAGCCACCUGCAUUGUUCCUGUGGUUCUUUGUCAAGCCACUUUCUGCAUCUAUUUUACUCUCCCUAAGGUUAUACUAUGUUGCUUAUGGAACUGUGAUGUGGCAGAGAGAAAAUGUGUUUGAAUCAGGACUCCCAGAUUUAAAGUCCAAACUGUACCCUCUCUUAACUGUUGAAUUUUAGGGAAGUUACAGAGUCCUUAUAGGCUCCAUGUAUUUCAGACACUUGUAAUAAUACCAAUUCAGAUGAGUUUAUGGAGUUGCUGUAAGAAAAUAUGUAUGAAAAAUGCUUUCAGACAGUAAUGCUGACAUGUGUGCAUGUAUGAGACAGUCACUGCAAAAUGUGCAACAAGAGCUGAAGUUUUAUUCAUAGACUUAUUGGAUGACCUUGAAGUUUUAUUCACAGACUUAUUGGAUGACUUUGAACAAGCCUUCCCCUCUCUGGGCCUUGGUUUCUGAACCUAGACCAAGGGUUCCUAGCCUGGGAUCCUCAGAAGGGCUUCGGGAGAGUCACAAAACCCCUGAGAUUGCAUCCACCGUUAUGCCUGCUGGUGCCUUUUUCUAGGUUCAGCAGUCACCUCUUUCAUCCAAUUCUCAAAGAGAUCUGAAAUUCAAGCGAAGUUAGGAAACUUGAGCCAGAUGCUCAUGAGGUCCCCCACCCCAUCCAGGUCUGACAGUUUAUGUCUCUGGAAACUUUAGUCCAACAUGUUCUUGCAACAGGCACAGAAACACAUUUUGCAAGACCAGAAAGGGACUAUCACAGAUGAGGAAACUGAAUCCUGGAAGAGUGAGGUCAGGUGCCAGAUGUUAGGAGUUGGCAGAGACUCUGCAAACCUACCAGAGCUCCAGUGAGAGGGGUAAUCACAGAGUCACGGGUCAUUUCCUCCUUAGAUUUUAAAAUCAGGGUGGGGUGGUCAAUAGAAAACCCAGAAAAAAAGUCCUGUUUUGUAAAUAGAAAUCAUUUAAUUUAAAAAAAAACUGGAUUUGGUUUAUAAUUUUGUAAUGUCCUGCCUACAGGCACUGUGCUAGAAGCCAAGGGCUCAGGGACACAAAGGCUGUAAAGGGCCCCCAUGCUUCACUAAUAAGGGAGACACCCUUGCUGUCAACUGACUAUAAAAUCAGUGGGAAUUUAGAG